Molecule: RNA transcript, 538 nt
Organism: Piliocolobus tephrosceles (Ugandan red Colobus)
Lineage: Eukaryota; Metazoa; Chordata; Mammalia; Primates; Cercopithecidae
Gene name: small EDRK-rich factor 2 pseudogene
Exons: 1
Source: RefSeq, a predicted model, not a curated record
CGAGGGGACGUAACGGAGGCAGGUCGGAGCCGCUGCCGUCGCCAUGACCCGCGGUAACCAGCGUGAGCUCGCCCGCCAGAAGAAUAUGAAAAAGCAGAGCGACUCGGUUAAGGGAAAGCGCCGAGAUGACGGGCUUUCUGCUGCCGCCCGCAAGCAGAGUGCCCCAUCAUCUCUACCCCCAGGGACUCGGAGAUCAUGCAGCAGAAGCAGAAAAAGGCAAACGAGAAGAAGGAGGAACCCAAGUAGCUUUGUGGCUUCGUGUCCAACCCUCUUGCCCUUCGCCUGUGUGCCUGGAGCCAGUCCCACCACGCUCGCGUUUCCUCCUGUAGUGCUCACAGGUCCCAGCACCGAUGGCAUUCCCUUUGCCCUGAGUCUGCAGCGGGUCCCUUUUGUGCUUCCUUCCCCUCAGGUAGCCUCUCUCCCCCUGGGCCACUCCCGGGGGUGAGGGGGUUACCCCUUCCCAGUGUUUUUUAUUCCUGUGGGGCUCACCCCAAAGUAUUAAAAGUAGCUUUGUAAAAAAAAAAAAAAAAAAAAAAAA